Molecule: long non-coding RNA, 368 nt
Organism: Talpa occidentalis (Iberian mole)
Lineage: Eukaryota; Metazoa; Chordata; Mammalia; Eulipotyphla; Talpidae
Exons: 3
Source: RefSeq, a predicted model, not a curated record
GCCGGGGAGCCCCCCCACUCGCCCCAGCAGGGUCUACGGAGGCCGGGGCAGGCGGCUGAGGUGGCCGAGGCAUUGAACAAAUUUGAACAUCGGCCUUAAGCAAGGGAUCUACAGCAGUGAACAAAGUGGUCCAGAGGCCUGCCCUCACAGAGUCCUCAUGACAGCAGGGAGGCCAGACAACAGUCUGACUCCUCUCUGCUACUUGAAUGAGUGACCUCCAAGAAAUACUGAUUAGCGCCCAAUCUCAGAGUAAAUAUUUUAUGUCAACUUGUAAUACAGGGCAGCAUAGAUUAAGUUUUAAUGAUUACUGUUCAGAGACCAGUUGCAAUGUCAUUGUCAAACAGAAGUGCUAUCAAUAAAUAUUUGUC